Molecule: ribosomal RNA, 405 nt
Filed under: uncultured bacterium
Lineage: Bacteria
Description: partial 16S ribosomal RNA
Rfam family: Bacterial small subunit ribosomal RNA
Source: RNAcentral
GAUGAACGCUGGCGGCGUGCCUAAUACAUGCAAGUCGAGCGAAGCGGGGACGGGUGAGUAACACGUGGAUAACCUCCUAUAAGACUGGGAUAACUUCGGGAAACCGGAGCUAAACCGGAUUAUUUUAGCUGGAUCCGCGCUGCAUUAGCUAGUUGGUAAGGUAACGGCUUACCAAGGCAACGAUGCAUAGCCGACCGAAGAGGGUGAGCGGCCCAACUGGAACUGAGACACGGUCCAGACUCCUACGGGAGGCAGCAGUAGGGAAUCUUCCGCAGUGGGCGAAAGCCUGACGGAGCAACGCGGCGUGAGUGAUGAAGGUCUUCGGGUCGUAAAACUCUGUUAUUAGGGAAGCGGUACCUAAUCAGAAAGCCACGGCUAACUACGUGCCAGCAGCCGCGGUAAUAC